RNAcentral lists this ribosomal RNA (254 nucleotides) under uncultured bacterium. Its description in RNAcentral is "partial 16S ribosomal RNA". It matches the Rfam family "Bacterial small subunit ribosomal RNA", at positions 524 to 776 of the family's 1533-position model. The record is from RNAcentral.
GACGGAGGGUGGUAGCGUUGUUCGGAAUCACUGGGCGUAAAGGGCGCGUAGGCGGCCCAUGCCGUCGGCUCGUGAACGCCCGGGGCUCAACCCCGGAGGUGCGGCCGAGACCCAUGGGCUGGAGGCCGGAAGAGGAGGGUGGAAUACCCAGUGUAGAGGUGAAAUUCGUAGAUAUUGGGUGGAACACCGGUGGCGAAAGCGGCUCUCUGGUCCGGUUCUGACGCUGAGGCGCGAAAGCGUGGGGAGCAAACAGG